Callithrix jacchus (white-tufted-ear marmoset) is the source of this 748-nucleotide non-coding RNA. The record is from RefSeq and is a predicted model, not a curated record. Lineage: Eukaryota; Metazoa; Chordata; Mammalia; Primates; Cebidae.
CGCCACACGGGUCAGCACAGUGUGGGGAUGCCCCGUGGGGUACGCGGGUCCCGGUGCAUCCAGGCAGGGCGACCUGCAGCAGGAGCUCAAGGCAACAAUGGGUCACACUAGGGGACCCCAGGAAGAAGGGAAACCCAGAAAGCCCAGAGUCCCAGAAUAGGAUUCAAGCUGACUGGGGGAAGUCCCGGAGCCUGCGGAGAUGCCACCGCGGAGUCCCGGGUAGACCAGGGAGGGGAGGAUCCCGGAGCCCAGAAUCCCAGAAGGUGACGCUCAGCCGGUGGAGCCUGGGGGGUGCUGGAUCUAACACAGAGCUGGGGUAACCCUCGAGGACUUGCAGGCUCCCGAAGUCUCUGGGGACCUCCUCGGUAACCCAGGACCUGGAGGCCAGGAGGGAGUCCCCGAGGUGGCCCAGGAUCCCGAAAUCUGUGGGAAUGUCGCCUGCGGCCUCCAAGCAUCAUCCUCAAGAAACUCAGCCAGCUGCGGUUCUCACAUUUGUAGUCCUAACACAGUGGGAGGCCAAGGUGGGAGGAAUGCUUGAAGCCAGAAGUUAGACCAGCCUGGGCAACAUGGGACAUGGAUGAAUCUGAAACCGUCAUUCUCAGAAAACUGACACAAGAACAGAAAAGCAAACACCGCAUGUUCUCACUCAUAAGUGGGUGUUGAACAAUGAGAACACAUGGACACAGGGAGGGGAGCAUCACACACUGGGGUCUGGUGGGGGUCGGGGGCUAGGGGAGGGAUAACAUUG